CCUACGGGAGUCAGCAGUAGGGAAUCUUCCACAAUGGGCGAAAGCCUGAUGGAGCAACGCCGCGUGGGUGAAGAAGGUCUUCGGAUCGUAAAACCCUGUUGUUAGAGAAGAAAGUGCGUGAGAGUAACUGUUCACGUUUCGACGGUAUCUAACCAGAAAGCCACGGCUAACUACGUGCCAGCAGCCGCGGUAAUACGUAGGUGGCAAGCGUUAUCCGGUUUUAUUUGGCGUAAAGGGAACGCAGGCGGGCUUUUAAGUCUGAUGUGAAAGCCUUCGGCUUAACCGGAGUAGUGCAUUGGAAACUGGGAGACUUGAGUGCAGAAGAGGAGGGUGGAACGCCAUGUGUAGCGGUGAAAUGCGUAGAUAUAUGGAAGAACACCAGUGGCGAAAGCGGCUCUCUGGUCUGUAACUGACGCUGAGGUUCGAAAGCGUGGGUAGCAAACAGGAUUAGAUACCCUGGUAGUC
This 465-nucleotide ribosomal RNA is filed under the name uncultured bacterium. RNAcentral's name for it is "partial 16S ribosomal RNA". It matches the Rfam family "Bacterial small subunit ribosomal RNA", at positions 338 to 795 of the family's 1533-position model. The record is from RNAcentral.